GCCCUGAUGCUGGAAUUGGCAGACAGGCUAGCUUCAGGAGCUAGUGUCCGUAAGGACGUGAGAGUUCGAGUCUCUCUCAGGGUACAA
Molecule: transfer RNA, 87 nt
Filed under: Candidatus Levybacteria bacterium CG_4_9_14_0_2_um_filter_35_21
Lineage: Bacteria; Candidatus Levyibacteriota
Description: tRNA-Leu
Rfam family: tRNA
About the family: Transfer RNA (tRNA) molecules are approximately 80 nucleotides in length. Their secondary structure includes four short double-helical elements and three loops (D, anti-codon, and T loops). Further hydrogen bonds mediate the characteristic L-shaped molecular structure. tRNAs have two regions of fundamental functional importance: the anti-codon, which is responsible for specific mRNA codon recognition, and the 3' end, to which the tRNAs corresponding amino acid is attached (by aminoacyl-tRNA synthetases). tRNAs cope with the degeneracy of the genetic code in two manners: having more than one tRNA (with a specific anti-codon) for a particular amino acid; and 'wobble' base-pairing, i.e. permitting non-standard base-pairing at the 3rd anti-codon position.
Source: RNAcentral